This 509-nucleotide ribosomal RNA is filed under the name Pseudoalteromonas sp. Its description in RNAcentral is "bacterial SSU rRNA". It matches the Rfam family "Bacterial small subunit ribosomal RNA", at positions 150 to 660 of the family's 1533-position model. Lineage: Bacteria; Pseudomonadati; Pseudomonadota; Gammaproteobacteria; Alteromonadales; Pseudoalteromonadaceae. The record is from RNAcentral.
UUGGAAACGACUGCUAAUACCGCAUAAUGUCUACGGACCAAAGGGGGCUUCGGCUCUCGCCUUUAGAUUGGCCCAAGUGGGAUUAGCUAGUUGGUGAGGUAAUGGCUCACCAAGGCGACGAUCCCUAGCUGGUUUGAGAGGAUGAUCAGCCACACUGGGACUGAGACACGGCCCAGACUCCUACGGGAGGCAGCAGUGGGGAAUAUUGCACAAUGGGCGCAAGCCUGAUGCAGCCAUGCCGCGUGUGUGAAGAAGGCCUUCGGGUUGUAAAGCACUUUCAGUCAGGAGGAAAGGGUGGUGGUUAAUACCCGUCAUGUGUGACGUUACUGACAGAAGAAGCACCGGCUAACUCCGUGCCAGCAGCCGCGGUAAUACGGAGGGUGCGAGCGUUAAUCGGAAUUACUGGGCGUAAAGCGUACGCAGGCGGUUUGUUAAGCGAGAUGUGAAAGCCCCGGGCUCAACCUGGGAACUGCAUUUCGAACUGGCAAACUAGAGUGUGAUAGAGGGUG